RNAcentral lists this ribosomal RNA (261 nucleotides) under uncultured bacterium. Its description in RNAcentral is "partial 16S ribosomal RNA". It matches the Rfam family "Bacterial small subunit ribosomal RNA", at positions 523 to 776 of the family's 1533-position model. The record is from RNAcentral.
UGACGUAGGGGGCAAGCGUUGUCCGGAAUUUAUUGGGCGUAAAGAGCGUGUAGGCGGCCAUACAGGUCAGCCUGUGAAAACUCGAGGCUCAACCUCGAGACGUCGGUUGAAACCGUAUGGCUAGAGUCCGGAAGAGGAGAGUGGAAUUCCCGGUGUAGCGGUGAAAUGGCGCAGAUAAUCGGGAAGAACACCCGUGGCGGAAGGCGGCUCUCUGGGACGGUACUGAACGGCUGAGACGCGAAAGCGUGGGGAGCGAACAGG